RNAcentral lists this ribosomal RNA (253 nucleotides) under uncultured bacterium. RNAcentral describes it as "partial 16S ribosomal RNA". It matches the Rfam family "Bacterial small subunit ribosomal RNA", at positions 524 to 776 of the family's 1533-position model. The record is from RNAcentral.
UACGUAGGGGGCAAGCGUUGUCCGGAAUCAUUGGGCGUAAAGAGCGUGUAGGCGGACCGAUAAGUCCGCCGUGAAAGUCCAGGGCUCAACCCUGGAAUGCCGGUGGAAACUGUCGGGCUGGAGUCCGGAAGAGGCGAGUGGAAUUCCUGGUGUAGCGGUGAAAUGCGCAGAUAUCAGGAGGAACACCAAUGGCGAAGGCAGCUCGCUGGGACGGUACUGACGCUGAGACGCGAAAGCGUGGGGAGCGAACGGG